RNAcentral lists this ribosomal RNA (468 nucleotides) under uncultured bacterium. RNAcentral's name for it is "partial 16S ribosomal RNA". It matches the Rfam family "Bacterial small subunit ribosomal RNA", at positions 28 to 507 of the family's 1533-position model. The record is from RNAcentral.
GACGAACGCUAGCGGCGUGCUUAACACAUGCAAGUCGAACGGAAAGGCCCUGCUUUUGUGGGGUGCUCGAGUGGCGAACGGGUGAGUAACACGUGAGUAACCUGCCCUUGACUUUGGGAUAACUUCAGGAAACUGGGGCUAAUACCGGAUAGGAGCUCCUGCUGCAUGGUGGGGGUUGGAAAGUUUCGGCGGUUGGGGAUGGACUCGCGGCUUAUCAGCUUGUUGGUGGGGUAGUGGCUUACCAAGGCUUUGACGGGUAGCCGGCCUGAGAGGGUGACCGGCCACAUUGGGACUGAGAUACGGCCCAGACUCCUAUGGGAGGCAGCAGUGGGGAAUAUUGCACAAUGGGCGGAAGCCUGAUGCAGCAACGCCGCGUGCGGGAUGACGGCCUUCGGGUUGUAAACCGCUUUCGCCUGUGACGAAGCGUGAGUGACGGUAAUGGGUAAAGAAGCACCGGCUAACUACGUG